GAGCCGAUAGCUCAGUGGUAGAGCGGGAAGCUUAUACCUUCCUGGUCGCAGGUUCGAGUCCUGCUCGGCUCA
Molecule: transfer RNA, 72 nt
Filed under: Minisyncoccota bacterium
Lineage: Bacteria; Bacillati; Minisyncoccota
Description: tRNA-Ile
Rfam family: tRNA
About the family: Transfer RNA (tRNA) molecules are approximately 80 nucleotides in length. Their secondary structure includes four short double-helical elements and three loops (D, anti-codon, and T loops).
Source: RNAcentral